UACGAAGGGGGCUAGCGUUGCUCGGAAUUACUGGGCGUAAAGGGCGCGUAGGCGGACAGUUUAGUCAGAGGUGAAAGCCCAGGGCUCAACCUUGGAAUAGCCUUUGAUACUGGCUGUCUUGAGUUCGGGAGAGGUGAGUGGAAUGCCGAGUGUAGAGGUGAAAUUCGUAGAUAUUCGGCGGAACACCAGUGGCGAAGGCGACUCACUGGCCCGAUACUGACGCUGAGGAGCGAAAGCGUGGGGAGCAAACAGG
RNAcentral lists this ribosomal RNA (253 nucleotides) under uncultured bacterium. Its description in RNAcentral is "partial 16S ribosomal RNA". It matches the Rfam family "Bacterial small subunit ribosomal RNA", at positions 524 to 776 of the family's 1533-position model. The record is from RNAcentral.